RNAcentral lists this ribosomal RNA (426 nucleotides) under uncultured Actinomycetes bacterium. RNAcentral describes it as "bacterial SSU rRNA". It matches the Rfam family "Bacterial small subunit ribosomal RNA", at positions 958 to 1385 of the family's 1533-position model. The record is from RNAcentral. Lineage: Bacteria; Bacillati; Actinomycetota; Actinomycetes.
AACGCGAAGAACCUUACCUGGGUUGAACUACGCAGGAAAAGCCGCAGAGAUGCGGUGUCCGCAAGGGCCUGCGAUAGGUGGUGCAUGGCUGUCGUCAGCUCGUGUCGUGAGAUGUUGGGUUAAGUCCCGCAACGAGCGCAACCCUUGUCCUAUGUUGCCAGCGGGUAAUGCCGGGGACUCGUAGGAGACUGCCGGGGUCAACUCGGAGGAAGGUGGGGAUGACGUCAAGUCAUCAUGCCCCUUACGUCCAGGGCUGCACACAUGCUACAAUGGCCGGUACAAAGGGCUGCUAUCCCGCGAGGGUGAGCGAAUCCCAAAAAGCCGGUCUCAGUUCGGAUCGUAGUCUGCAACUCGACUACGUGAAGUCGGAGUCGCUAGUAAUCCCGGAUCAGCAACGCCGGGGUGAAUACGUUCCCGGGCCUUGUA